CCUACGGGGGACAGCAGUGAGGAAUAUUGGUCAAUGGGCGGAAGCCUGAACCAGCCAAGUAGCGUGAAGGAAGACGGCCCUAUGGGUUGUAAACCGCUUUUAUCCGGGAAUAAAGGUCCCUACGUGUAGGGUUUUGCAUGUACCGUAUGAAUAAGGACCGGCUAAUUCCGUGCCAGCAGCCGCGGUAAUACGGAAGGUCCGGGCGUUAUCCGGAUUUAUUGGGUUUAAAGGGUGCGUAGGCCGCAUGUCAAGCGUGCUGUGAAAUGUUCGGGCUCAACCCUGUCAUUGCAGCGCAAACUGGCGUGCUUGAGUGCGCGGAAAGCAGGCGGAAUUCGUGGUGUAGCGGUGAAAUGCUUAGAUAUGACGAAGAACCCCGAUUGCGAAGGCAGCUUGCUGCAGCGUAACUGACGCUGAUGCUCGAAAGCGCGGGUAUCGAACAGGAUUAGAUACCCCGGUAGUC
Molecule: ribosomal RNA, 460 nt
Filed under: uncultured bacterium
Lineage: Bacteria
Description: partial 16S ribosomal RNA
Rfam family: Bacterial small subunit ribosomal RNA
Source: RNAcentral